AACGCGAAGAACCUUACCUGGGCUCGAAAUGUAGUGGACCGGGGUAGAAAUAUCCCUUCCUAGCAAUAGGCUGCUAUAUAGGUGCUGCAUGGCUGUCGUCAGCUCGUGUCGUGAGAUGUUGGGUUAAGUCCCGCAACGAGCGCAACCCUUAUUACCAGUUGCCAUCAUUCAGUUGGGCACUCUGGUGAGACCGCCUCGGAUAACGGGGAGGAAGGCGGGGAUGACGUCAAGUCCUCAUGGCCUUUAUGUCCAGGGCUACACACGUGCUACAAUGGCCGGUACAAACCGUCGCAAACCCGUGAGGGGGAGCUAAUCGGAAAAAGCCGGCCUCAGUUCGGAUUGGAGUCUGCAACUCGACUCCAUGAAGCUGGAAUCGCUAGUAAUCGCGGAUCAGAACGCCGCGGUGAAUACGUUCCCGGGCCUUGUA
Molecule: ribosomal RNA, 427 nt
Filed under: uncultured Acidobacterium sp.
Lineage: Bacteria; Pseudomonadati; Acidobacteriota; Terriglobia; Terriglobales; Acidobacteriaceae
Description: bacterial SSU rRNA
Rfam family: Bacterial small subunit ribosomal RNA
Source: RNAcentral